Molecule: ribosomal RNA, 490 nt
Filed under: uncultured bacterium
Lineage: Bacteria
Description: partial 16S ribosomal RNA
Rfam family: Bacterial small subunit ribosomal RNA
Source: RNAcentral
GAUGAACGCUAGCUACAGGCUUAACACAUGCAAGUCGAGGGGCAGCAUGGUCUUAGCUUGCUAAGGCCGAUGGCGACCGGCGCACGGGUGAGUAACACGUAUCCAACCUGCCGUCUACUCUUGGACAGCCUUCUGAAAGGAAGAUUAAUACAAGAUGGCAUCAUGAGUCCGCAUGUUCACAUGAUUAAAGGUAUUCCGGUAGACGAUGGGGAUGCGUUCCAUUAGAUAGUAGGCGGGGUAACGGCCCACCUAGUCUUCGAUGGAUAGGGGUUCUGAGAGGAAGAUCCCCCACAUUGGAACUGAGACACGGUCCAAACUCCUACUGGAGGCAGCAGUGAGGAAUAUUGGUCAAUGGGCGAGAGCCUGAACCAGCCAAGUAGCGUGAAGGAUGACUGCCCUAUGGGUUGUAAACUUCUUUUAUAAAGGAAUAAAGUCGGGUAUGGAUACCCGUUUGCAUGUACUUUAUGAAUAAGGAUCGGCUAACUCCGUG